GUGGCAUUAGAAAUCGCCUCAUUAUUAUUGGAAACAGCUGUCCAUAUGCUUGCUGCUAUAAGGAGAAAGAACAUGGCACUAUUACGAGCUAAAUUUGGAUGUGUGAUGCAGAAGAGAAAUUUAUCCAGAUGGAGGUGACUGAUUCAUGACUGUCAGCCCAGAAGUGUCAACAUGGUCCCAAUCAACACCAUCAGGAGGAACUGUGAUCCAGUCGCCACGGCAACCAAGCCCAGCGGUUUCAGGAAUACUCGAGAAAUUAUAAACAAGACGUUAUAUAAGGAAAAUGAAAACAAAAAGAAAUUAUUAUGAGUGUGUCAACAGUGUGUGAGUUCCAAUGUCACUGUCCUCAGAUUAAAC
Gambusia affinis (western mosquitofish) is the source of this 357-nucleotide long non-coding RNA. RefSeq lists it as uncharacterized. The transcript is spliced from 3 exons. The record is from RefSeq and is a predicted model, not a curated record. Lineage: Eukaryota; Metazoa; Chordata; Actinopteri; Cyprinodontiformes; Poeciliidae.